RNAcentral lists this transfer RNA (72 nucleotides) under Camelus bactrianus (Bactrian camel). It matches the Rfam family "tRNA". From Rfam's summary of the family: Transfer RNA (tRNA) molecules are approximately 80 nucleotides in length. The record is from Rfam by way of RNAcentral. Lineage: Eukaryota; Metazoa; Chordata; Mammalia; Artiodactyla; Camelidae. RNAcentral also lists the same sequence under 2 other names.
GAGGGGAUAGCUCAGUGGUAGAGCACAUGCUUAGCAUGCAUGAGGUCCUAGGCUCAAACCCCAGUACCUCCA